AUGAGGGCAGCCGCACGUGCCCUGCGGCUCGACAGAUGGACCCAACUGAAAUUUAAUGGAAGCAUCCAUGCCAACAAACAGGAGAGUGUGAUAAAGCCACUCGUAGAGCGGAGACGCCACAGAGCAGAGCAGAGCGGAGGAGCAGAAGGAAAGGAAAGAAGAGCGAGGAGGGAGGGAGACGCCGGAGGGGAAGGAAGCACGACCGCAGAGAAUUCAGAUCAAAGCAAAGGUUUAUAUCCCUCUCCCCUCUCUCUGACGCAGACGUCGUCGACCCCUUUUUCUCCUCUGAUAUUUCAGUGA
This 300-nucleotide ribosomal RNA is filed under the name Triticum aestivum (bread wheat). Its description in RNAcentral is "partial small subunit ribosomal RNA". The record is from RNAcentral. Lineage: Eukaryota; Viridiplantae; Streptophyta; Magnoliopsida; Poales; Poaceae.